UAUAAUUUAUUAUUGAGAGAAAGAAGUUCCAAUAAAAAUAAAGAAUAUAAAAAAAAGGAUAGGCAAGAACAAAAUAAAAAAACAUCUCAGGACUCAAUAGAAUCAAGAUAUGAAACGAAAUACAUGAAACAUGUAAUAUAUUGUAUUUGUUAAAAAUUAAAUUUUAAUAAAAAUAUUUUAAAAAAAUUUUUUAAAAAUAUUACUACAGAUCAUAUGAAAAAUCCUAAUAACAAAACACUAGGAGAAAGAUCUCAAGAUAAAGAAAGAUCUCCAGAUAAAGAAAGAUGUCAAGAUAAAGAAAGAUCAGAAGAUAGAGAAAAAUCUGAAGAUAAAAGAAGAUCUGGAGAUAUAGAAAGAUCUGCAGAUAGAGAAAGAUCUAGAGAACAAGGAGUAAUAUUAUCUCUAUCAAAUAGUUAUAGAUCGCUGCAAUAUUAUAAUAUUAAUUAUAGCGAGCAAAUAUAUAUUCCAGUUUCUGUUCCUGUUUAUUAUGGAGUGAGUAUUUAUAUCUCAAUUAUAAAAGAAAAUUUCUCAACAAUAUUAAAUUGCAUUAUUAAAACGUCCCACGGAAUCCAAGAAUUAUUGAACCUAGAAUACAGUAUAUCCAAAGAUCAAGAUUCAACACUCCAAUUUCCUGCUCGAGGAUCUAUUCCUUCAACAAUUUAUAUAUUCCGCAAUGUAAAUCCUAAUAUGUUAUGAAUUUGAAUUUAUAUUGAUGCACAUAAUAUUAGUAAUGCUGUAUUAUAUAACGAAAAAUCUUAAGAUAAAGGAAAAUGUGGAGAUAGAGGAAGAUUUACAGCUAGAGAAAGAUCUGCAAAUAUGAAAAGUCCUAUAACAAAACAUUAGGAGAAAGAUCUGGAGAUAAAGAAAAAUCUCGAGAUAAAGAAAGAUCUUCAGAUAAAGAAAAAUCUGAAGAUAAAGAAAAAUCUGAAGAUAGAGGAAGAUCUGCAGCUAGAGGAAGAUCUGCAAAUAUGAUGAAAAAUCCUAAAACAAAACAUUAGAAGAAAGAUCUGGAGAUAAAGAAAAAUCUCAAAAUAAACAAAGAUCUCCAGAUAAAGAAAAAUCUGAAGAUAGAGGAAGAUCUGGAGAUAGAGAAAGAUCUAGAGAACAAGGAAUAAUAUUAUCUCUAUCAAAUAGUUGUAGAUCGCUGCAAUAUUGUAAUAUUAAUUAUAGGGAGCAAAUAUAAGUUCCAGUUUCUGUUCCUAUUUAUUAUGGAAUGAAUAUUUAUAUCUCAAUUAUAAAAGAAAAUUUCUUAAAAACAUUAAAUGUCAUUAUUAGAACAUCACACCGAAUCCAAAAAUUAUUGGACCUAGAAUAUAGUAUAUCCAAAGGUCAAGAUCAACACUUCAAUAUUUCGUGUUCGAGGAUCUAUUCCUCCAACAAUUUAUAUAUUCCGUAAUGUAAAUCCUAGUAUGUUAUAAAUUUAAAUUUAUAUUGAUGCACAUAGUAUUAGUAAUGCUGUAUUCUGUAACGAAAAAUCUCAAGAUAAAGGAAAAUCUGGAGAUAGAGGAAGAUCUAUAGCUAGAGAAAAAUCUGCAAAUAUGGAAAGUCCUAUAACAAAACACUAGGAGAAAGAUCUAGAGAUAAAGAAAAAUCUCGAGAUAAAGAAAGAUCUUCAGAUAAAGAAAAAUCUGAAGAUAGAGGAAGAUCUAGAGAUAGAGAAAGAUCUGCAGCUAGAGAAAGAUCUGCAAAUAUGAAAAAUCCUAUGACAAAACACUAGGAGAAAAAUCUGGAGGUAAAGAAAAAUCUCGAGAUAAAGAAAGAUCUCCAGAUAAAGAAAAAUCUGAAGAUAGAGAAAGAUCUAGAGAACAAGGAGUAAUAUUAUCUCUAUCAAAUAGUUGUAGAUCACUGCAAUAUUAUAAUAUUAAUUAUAGCGAGCAAAUAUAUAUUCCAGUUCCUGUUCCUUAUAGAAACGUCCCACCAAAUCCAAAAAUUAUUGGACUUAGAAUACAGUAUAUCCCAAGAUCAAGAUUCAACACUCUAAUAUUUCCUGUUCGAAGAUCUAUUCCUCCGACCAUUUAUAGAUUUCGCCAUCUAUAAUCCUAAUAUGUUAUGAAUUUAUAUUGAUGCAAAAGAAUAAACAUUUUUUAAAUCACAAAAAAA
This is an RNA transcript of Apis mellifera (honey bee), 2100 nucleotides long. RefSeq lists it as uncharacterized. The transcript has 2 exons. Lineage: Eukaryota; Metazoa; Arthropoda; Insecta; Hymenoptera; Apidae. The record is from RefSeq and is a predicted model, not a curated record.